GACGAACGCUGGCGGCGUGCUUAACACAUGCAAGUCGAACGGAAAGGCCUGCUUUCCCUUGUGGAUUGCGGGUACUCGAGUGGCGAACGGGUGAGUAACACGUGAGUGAUCUGCCCCCAACUUGGGUAUAAGCCUGGGAAACUGGGUCUAAUUCCCGAUAGGACUGCAGGGUGGUGCCUGUGGUGGAAAACGAUUUUCUAGUGGUUGGGGAUGAGCUCGCGGCCUAUCAGCUUGUUGGUGGGGUAAUGGCCUACCAAGGCGGCGACGGGUAGCCGGCCUGAGAGGGUGGACGGCCACAUUGGGACUGGGAUACGGCCCAGACUCCUACGGGAGGCAGCAGUGGGGAAUAGUGCACAAUGGGCGGAAGCCUGAUGCAGCGACGCCGCGUGGGGGAUGACGGCCUUCGGGGUGUAAACUCCUUUCGACCGCGAGGAAGCCACCUGGUUGGAAGGGUGGUGACGGUAGUGGUAGAAGAAGCACCGGCUAACUACGU
RNAcentral lists this ribosomal RNA (493 nucleotides) under uncultured bacterium. RNAcentral's name for it is "partial 16S ribosomal RNA". It matches the Rfam family "Bacterial small subunit ribosomal RNA", at positions 28 to 506 of the family's 1533-position model. The record is from RNAcentral.